Molecule: long non-coding RNA, 240 nt
Organism: Fukomys damarensis (Damara mole-rat)
Lineage: Eukaryota; Metazoa; Chordata; Mammalia; Rodentia; Bathyergidae
Exons: 3
Source: RefSeq, a predicted model, not a curated record
CAAUGGAGAAGGGUGAGCUGUGGUAGACUAAGCUGCUAGCCUGUCCUAAGUAAAAACCAAACAGCCUCCAUGUUGACCCGCUGAUCACCCCACCACCACAGUUGUGUAGUUACCCAUGACAACGGGUUUGCGCAGACAAGUGACCUGAUCCGUUACAUAGUAACAUUGUGUUAUACUAUUGUUACAUUCUCCUCCCAAAGUUUAUGGUUAACUAUUUCCUCUUACAAUUUUGCGGUUUUU